UACAAUUCAACAUCAUUUGAGUUAUAUGAUUAUUUUUCUUAGAAGGAUGUCGUCUUUCUAAAUGUUUUCUAAGAUGAGUAGUGCCAUCCUUUGGUUUGGCAACAAACAUAGAUUUACAAUGCAAGCAUCUAGCUUUGCGAACAUCACCGACCAUAAAUGAAUCAAAAUCUUUCCAAACAUCGGACUUUAAUUUGCUCUUUAAGUCACUAACAUCUUGCUUUUCUUGACAUGAACUAAAAUAAAAAAAUUUGUAGAGUUGUAUUUGUAUACUUAUAUAAUUGUAGAAUUGUUAUUUGUAUAAUAAGUAAUAAAUCAAUUGUACCUUGGAGUGACCGGAGUCGUUGUCGUUGUUUCUUCCGUUUGUGUUGGAGUAUCCAUUAGUGUGUGUAUCCAUAAGCAAACUGAAAUACAUAAUAAUUAAAAGUUAAUACUAAAUAAUUACAUAAAUACGUAUUGAAAUAAAUGAAUAAACACAAUUGAAUAAACAAAAUAAUGUCUAUUACAAUCAGCAAGAUAGCAACUCAAUAAUGUCAUAUUACUUUGUAAUUAAUUUAACUAUAGUCAAAAUAGUAAAUAAUUUAUCAGUCAUCAAUUCAUUAUCAACUAUCAACUAUCAAAUUUAAUCAAGUUUUUAAUUUAAAAUGAUUCUAAUUUCCAUGUGGACAUUUGGUAAGGUAUAUAUGUAUAAGCAUUAUAAUUUCAAGUUUCCAAUCUCACUUUAAUAAAACGCAAACUAUAGGCAGUAAUCUAGUAUAGUGGGCAGUAAUUUCAAGUUUCCAUGUGGAAAUAUUUGGGGACGAUGAUUUGGGUCAAUGUGGUUUUACAUAUGUUUGUGAGAUUUAAAACAUUCUAAGAUUUAAAGGGCGAGACGAAAAAGGAAAGUGGAGAUCGUAGGUGGAUUUGCGUAUCGAACCAAAGAGAUUAGUCGGUUUAUUAUAGACCUAUUAAUUUGAAACAUUUAAAUCAUUUAAAACAUUCUAAGAUUUGGGUCUUACCUGAUCAAAAUCUCCCCUAGGUUACAGUGAACUGCUGCCCGUCAAUGAACUCCUCGGUGUUGGCAAGUUGGAGGAGAUAUUAGGUUU
This 1082-nucleotide long non-coding RNA is filed under the name Zostera marina. RNAcentral describes it as "long non-coding RNA (ZMAR_LNC003342)". Lineage: Eukaryota; Viridiplantae; Streptophyta; Magnoliopsida; Alismatales; Zosteraceae. The record is from RNAcentral.